AAAAUAAUGAAGUAAAAUUUACAUUUAGUUUCGACCUAAAAUUAAGGCUUCAUACCUCUUAUUUAA
Molecule: transfer RNA, 66 nt
Filed under: Macroscytus gibbulus
Lineage: Eukaryota; Metazoa; Arthropoda; Insecta; Hemiptera; Cydnidae
Description: tRNA-Arg
Source: RNAcentral